AUUGAACGCUGGCGGCAUGCCUUACACAUGCAAGUCGAACGGCAGCACGGGGCAACCUGGUGGCGAGUGGCGAACGGGUGAGUAAUGCAUCGGAACGUGCCAUUGAGUGGGGGAUAACGUAGCGAAAGUUGCGCUAAUACCGCAUAUUCUGUGAGCAGGAAAGAGGGGGAUCGCAAGACCUCUUGCUUUAGGAGCGGCCGAUGUCGGAUUAGCUAGUUGGUGAGGUAAAGGCUCACCAAGGCGACGAUCCGUAGCGGGUCUGAGAGGAUGAUCCGCCACACUGGGACUGAGACACGGCCCAGACUCCUACGGGAGGCAGCAGUGGGGAAUUUUGGACAAUGGGCGAAAGCCUGAUCCAGCCAUGCCGCGUGAGUGAAGAAGGCCUCGGGUUGGUUAAAGGUACUCUUUCCGGUUGGGGGUAAGGAAAGUUAGGCAUGGGCUAAUACCCUGUGUAGAUGACGGUACC
Molecule: ribosomal RNA, 466 nt
Filed under: uncultured bacterium
Lineage: Bacteria
Description: bacterial SSU rRNA
Rfam family: Bacterial small subunit ribosomal RNA
Source: RNAcentral